This 147-nucleotide non-coding RNA is filed under the name uncultured Parabacteroides sp. Lineage: Bacteria; Pseudomonadati; Bacteroidota; Bacteroidia; Bacteroidales; Tannerellaceae. The record is from RNAcentral.
CCUGCUGUUCCGUCAGCAGUUGCCUAUUGAUAUAUGCAUUGCGGGUAACUGCAUUGUAUAAAGCUAUCGAGACAAAGUAAUCCUUCCUUGAUGGAAUAAAGCCAAUCGUGAGAGAAGUUUGAUGGCUGUUAGUAUCAUACGGUCAGG